ACACGUGAGUAACCUGCCCUUGACUUCGGGAUAACUCCGGGAAACCGGGGCUAAUACCGGAUAUGAGCUACCUUCGCAUGGGGGUGGUUGGAAAGUUUUUCGGUCAGGGAUGGGCUCGCGGCCUAUCAGCUUGUUGGUGGGGUGAUGGCCUACCAAGGCGACGACGGGUAGCCGGCCUGAGAGGGCGACCGGCCACACUGGGACUGAGACACGGCCCAGACUCCUACGGGAGGCAGCAGUGGGGAAUAUUGCACAAUGGGCGAAAGCCUGAUGCAGCGACGCCGCGUGAGGGAUGAAGGCCUUCGGGUUGUAAACCUCUUUCAGCAGGGAAGAAGCGCAAGUGACGGUACCUGCAGAAGAAGCGCCGGCUAACUACGUGCCAGCAGCCGCGGUAAUACGUAGGGCGCAAGCGUUGUCCGGAAUUAUUGGGCGUAAAGAGCUCGUAGGCGGUUUGUCGCGUCUGGUGUGAAAACUCGAGGCUCAACCUCGAGCUUGCAUCGGGUACGGGCAGACUAGAGUGCGGUAGGGGAGACUGGAAUUCCUGGUGUAGCGGUGGAAUGCGCAGAUAUCAGGAGGAACACCGAUGGCGAAGGCAGGUCUCUGGGCCGCAACUGACGCUGAGGAGCGAAAGCAUGGGGAGCGAACAGGAUUAGAUACCCUGGUAGUCCAUGCCGUAAACGUUGGGCACUAGGUGUGGGGCUCAUUCCACGAGUUCCGUGCCGCAGCAAACGCAUUAAGUGCCCCGCCUGGGGAGUACGGCCGCAAGGCUAAAACUCAAAGGAAUUGACGGGGGCCCGCACAAGCGGCGGAGCAUGCGGAUUAAUUCGAUGCAACGCGAAGAACCUUACCAAGGCUUGACAUGCACGGGAAGCCACCAGAGAUGGUGGUCUCUUUGGACACUCGUGCACAGGUGGUGCAUGGUUGUCGUCAGCUCGUGUCGUGAGAUGUUGGGUUAAGUCCCGCAACGAGCGCAACCCUCGUCCCAUGUUGCCAGCGGGUUAUGCCGGGGACUCAUGGGAGACUGCCGGGGUCAACUCGGAGGAAGGUGGGGAUGACGUCAAAUCAUCAUGCCCCUUAUGUCUUGGGCUUCACGCAUGCUACAAUGGCCGGUACAAAGGGCUGCGAUACCGCAAGGUGGAGCGAAUCCCAAAAAGCCGGUCUCAGUUCGGAUUGGGGUCUGCAACUCGACCCCAUGAAGUCGGAGUCGCUAGUAAUCGCAGAUCAGCAACGCUGCGGUGAAUACGUUCCCGGGCCUUGUACACACCGCCCGUCAAG
Molecule: ribosomal RNA, 1275 nt
Filed under: Cellulosimicrobium funkei
Lineage: Bacteria; Bacillati; Actinomycetota; Actinomycetes; Micrococcales; Promicromonosporaceae
Description: bacterial SSU rRNA
Rfam family: Bacterial small subunit ribosomal RNA
Source: RNAcentral